AGUAAAUGUGCUCAAAGUUCUCUAGGGACCUCUAAGGGCUGAAAAAUUCUCCCUACCACAGUUGCUGUGGGAUAGAGCACAUACAGCGUGAAAGAAAUAGAGUGAAAGGUCCUGGCAAGACGCCCAUCCUACUUCUCGGAUAAACGGUAUGGGGGACCUGCUACAUAUCAUGUUGGGACAGCAGUUACACCAGACCCUGAGCAUAUGAAAUGGAGGCCAUCUGGACAUCUGGAUAAUGUUUCAUUGUGCAGCUGAAAAUUUGCAUUCAUCAUUUAAGGACUGUGAACAUCUCAGAGAGGUUGUUUGGCUGAAGUCAAUCAAUUCCUUAGAAAGAAGAAAUAUCCAAGACUCCUGGAGUAGGCCCAGAAGCUGUGUGCAGAGGCUGGAGCUGGAGGCACAGGUCAUGGCAACCAUGAGGUGUUCCUGAAGUCUGGAGCAAACUUGUCUUCAAGAAGGGCGAGACGGAGGAUCCAAGGAACUACAAGUCAUUCAGACUUACCUCAAUCCCUGGGUAUGAGAUAGAACAAAUAAUUUUGGAAACCAUUUCCAAACUCAUGAAGGACAAGAGGGUGACUGAGUAUAGUUAACAUGGAUUUAUGAUGCCUGACCAAACUGAUAGCCUUCUAUGAUAAGAUAAAUGGCUUAGUGGAUGAAGUGAGUACAGUGAAUGUUGCUUAUCUUGGUUUCAGUAAGGUUUUUGACGUUGUCUUCCAUAACAUCCUCAUGAACAUGUGCACAAAGUAUGGACUAAAUAUACAGAUGGUGAGAUAGACUGAAAACUGUCUGCAAAGCUCAAAGAGUUGUGAUCAGUGGCACAAAGUCCAACUCUAGGCCAGUCAGCGGGGUUGUGCUUCAGUCAUUGAUACUGAGUCCAAUACUGUUUUACAACAUCAUUAAUGACCUGGAUGAUGGGACAGAGUACACCCUCAACAGCUUUGCAGAUGAUACCAAACUGGGAAGAAUGACUGAUACACCAGAGGCUUGUGCUGCCAUUUCAGAGGUACCUCAAGAGGCUGGAUAAAUGGGCAAACAGGAAUGUCAUGAUUUCAACAAAGGAAAAUGUUUAAGUCCUACACCUGGAAAGGAAGAACCCCAUGUGACAGGCUGGGGAUAAACCAACUGGAAAGCAGCUUUGCAGAAAUGGCCCUGUGGGUUAUCAUAGAUACUCAGUUGAUGUGCCAUUGCAGGAAAAAAAAAAAAAAAAGAAAAAAAAAAAGUCAGUUGUUUCCUGGGCUGCAUUGAAAACAGCAUUUCUGCCAGUAGGUCAAGGGAGAUGACACUUGCCCUCUGCUCUGGUCAGGUGCAUUCUGGCCUCCCCAAGGCCAGACAAGAGACCUAGUCAUAUUGGAGUAAGUCCACAGCAGGGUCACAAAGGUGAUUAAGUAACUAGAGAAUCUGUUGUACAAGGAGAAGCUGGGAGAGAUGGUAAUGUUCAGCCUGGAGAAGAAAAGGCUCAGGGAGAAUUUUAGUCAUGUAUAUCAAUACAUGAUGGGAGGGGUUAAAGAUGAAACUAGGCUCUUCUCAUUGAUGCUUAGUGAAAGGUAAAGAGCCAACAGGCUCAAACUGAAAUGGGCAGAAAUUCCGUUUAAACUUAAGGAAGAACUUAAGGAAGAACAUUUUAACAUUAAGGAUGGUCAUUGGACCAGAUUGUCCAGAGAGACUGUGGAGUCUCCAUCUUUGGAGAUACUAAAAAUUGAACUAGACAAUGUCCCUAUCAGAAUGUUCUAGCUGGCUUUGCUCAGAGCAGGACUGGGCUGAAUGAUCUCGAGAGGUCUAUUCCGACCCCAACUAGUCUGUGAUUUAUAUGAUUUUUUAUGAAGAACUACAUCAAGUCUUUGGUGUAUCAGAAGUCUAUCUGAGUGACUUGCAAUCAUUUUGGGAUUUGCUUUGAAG
Molecule: long non-coding RNA, 1893 nt
Organism: Cygnus atratus (black swan)
Lineage: Eukaryota; Metazoa; Chordata; Aves; Anseriformes; Anatidae
Exons: 5
Source: RefSeq, a predicted model, not a curated record